CGGUAGGAAAAGGAGAAGUUGGGAUGUGCUGAGCUACAGAUAAAAUGGCUUCAGGGAAUGGCAUAACCACGUCCAAGUUGCUGCACCCUGCCCACCUUCCCAAAAGAAGCCCACAGGACAGAUCCGUUACUAUAGAAUCAGGAGCCAAGUCCUGGGAAGAGAAAGCACCUGAUUCCAGUGCCGCUGGUGCCGGGAAUCCCUUCCUAUCUUGCAAACACCAAUCGACUGCUUCCACUUCUCCCCCCAACGAUCCAACUUUCAGACUCACGGUGCAGUAGCUCGCAGCCCCAGAGGCACAGGCAGGUGUGAGAGAAGGGCUGUCACUCGCAGACCAGCAUCGGGGCUGGGAGGCAGCAUCCCAACUCGCCGCAGGAACAAACUCCGCGUGCGCGGCAUGCAAAUCUCAAGCCUAUCAGGAGCCGGAAGUGGUCUGGGCAGGAAGGUGGGCUUUUAGCGGGGAAUUCUGGGGUAGCGAUACCUAGUCGGCGGAGGUCCAAGGCUGCAGCAACUCCGAGAGGCUCUAUUGCAUGUCCUCAGGGCCAGUUAUUUAUAUCCUGUUAGCAGCUGAAAGCAUACUCUUUGUUUCUCGCUUUGAUGAAAGAAUCAGCCAUGUUGAAAAAACCAUGUGGCAAGGAACUGAGAGUGAGCACUAAUGAAUGAGAAACUAAGCUUCUCAGUCUGACAACCCUCAAGUAACUGAACCAACCAACAACCGUACAUCAUAUGGAGUUCCUGGGCCAGGGAUCAGACCCCAGCUGGAGUUGCAAUCACGUCAGACCCCGCUGAAGCAUUACC
Molecule: non-coding RNA, 795 nt
Organism: Sus scrofa (pig)
Lineage: Eukaryota; Metazoa; Chordata; Mammalia; Artiodactyla; Suidae
Source: RefSeq, a predicted model, not a curated record